This 117-nucleotide ribosomal RNA is filed under the name Diaphorina citri (Asian citrus psyllid). Lineage: Eukaryota; Metazoa; Arthropoda; Insecta; Hemiptera; Psyllidae. The record is from RNAcentral.
CGGCGCGAUGAUGGUACGUUGAUUACACCAGUUUCCGAUGUAUCAUUAAGGUUAAGCAACGUUCGCGUGGUUACUAUCCGGAUGGGUGACCAUUUGAACAAUCGUGUAUUGUCUUUU